UACGGAGGGUGCGAGCGUUGUUCGGAAUUACUGGGCGUAAAGCGCGUGUAGGCGGCCUUCUAAGUCUGGUGUGAAAGCCCGGGGCUCACCCCCGGAAGUGCAUUGGAUACUGGGAGGCUGGAGUACCGGAGAGGAGGGUGGAAUUCCUGGUGUAGCGGUGAAAUGCGUAGAUAUCGGGAGGAACACCAGUGGCGAAGGCGGCCCCCUGGGCCGCUCCUGACGCUGAGACGCGAAGGCCAGGGUAGCGAACGGG
Molecule: ribosomal RNA, 253 nt
Filed under: uncultured bacterium
Lineage: Bacteria
Description: partial 16S ribosomal RNA
Rfam family: Bacterial small subunit ribosomal RNA
Source: RNAcentral